Bombyx mori (domestic silkworm) is the source of this 88-nucleotide non-coding RNA. Lineage: Eukaryota; Metazoa; Arthropoda; Insecta; Lepidoptera; Bombycidae. The record is from Rfam.
CCAUGAUGAAAAGGGUGUUAAAUGAAGACUUAGGGCUUCGGGCAUAUCUAAGAAAAACAGGACAUCGUUUGAAUGCUCGUCUAAUGGA